This 71-nucleotide transfer RNA is filed under the name Candidatus Sungbacteria bacterium RIFCSPHIGHO2_02_FULL_49_12. RNAcentral describes it as "tRNA-Gly". It matches the Rfam family "tRNA". From Rfam's summary of the family: Transfer RNA (tRNA) molecules are approximately 80 nucleotides in length. Their secondary structure includes four short double-helical elements and three loops (D, anti-codon, and T loops). Lineage: Bacteria; Candidatus Sungiibacteriota. The record is from RNAcentral.
GCGAGUAUGAUUCAGUGGUAGAAUACUUGCUUCCCAAGCAAGAUACGCGGGUUCGAUUCCCGCUACUCGCA